GAGCACAGCCCUGAGACAAGGGCCCAGGCGCCCAGCGGGGCUGGUUUCACUCAGUCCAGCCGCACCUACCCGUGCCCUCACCAGAUCUUAAGAUACAGACAUUAAAACCUCCACCGGGCCGCGGCACAGGACAGCAGUUUUACUUUCUGUUUUUGGCAUUGCAUUGCCUCCAUUUCCUAGAGUGCACGUAAUAAAUACCGCUGGUGAUUCCAAAAUAUAAAGGUUGAAAAUAUUUACUUUACAAAAAUUUGGUUCCCAUACUGCUUUUAAGGCCAUCCUCUGCACUUGGUUCCCGCUGCUCCUGAUGUGGUUGAAAGAUGGAUGACCCCAAAGACGAGGAAAAGAUUAUUGGCUCCAUUUUUUAGAUGCGGCAGCCAGCUAAGGUCUAGACAGGGGAAGGGACUUGCCCCAAAUCACAGUUAGAGCAAAUCAGUCUGAAUCAGGAAUAACUCCAUUCCUAUCCCGCAUCCUGCCCUUUCACUACGCCACAGCUGCCUGGCUGCCUGGAGGAACAAAGGAGGGCCGGGCAAGAACGCCAUUACCAACUGCAAAUCCACAGGCAAAUGCAAGAGGACAGAAAUCUUGUUAACUGAGUGCCAAUUACGCUCCAGGCGCUGCGAAUACGAGUGGGUCUCCACCACCAGAAUGGCUAAAGUGAAAAAGACCGCACCGUGUGGAGGCGAGAAAGUAGAGCGACUGGACCUCUCUUGUAUUUCUGGGGGAGUGUAAAUUGGUAGAGACAUUUUGGAAAACUGGCAGUUUUCUAAUGAAGCCGAACAUAUGCCACCUCUGUGAUCCAGCAGUUCCACUCCUAGGCUGUCAACACCCAGCAGAAAUGUGUAGGUGUGAGCAUCAAGAGGGUGCAUGGGAAUGUUCAGAGCCCUUUCAUAACAGCCCCAAACUGGAAAUAACCCAUCAACAGAAUGGAAAAUGAAUGAUGCCCUACUCACUACCAUGCACAUAGACACAGCAACGGGAUUGACAUGCCCGGCUACACACAGCAACAUAGACAAGUCGCAUGAUGAAAUCUUGAGUGACAGAAGCCAAAUGCAACAGUACAUACUAGAUGGUUCCAGGUGUAUUACGUUCAGAACCAGACAAAACUAAUUUAUAGUGCACCAAAGUCAAGAUAGUGAUCGCCCUUAGGGUUGGGAGGGGACGAGGGGAGAGCUUCUGGGAGCUGAUCCAGUUCUGUUGUGUAAUCUGGUGCUGGUUCCCUGGGCAUAUGUAUUCUGUGAAAAUCCAUCACAUGACUUAAAUAAAAUGUACAUUACUUAAAUAAAA
RNAcentral lists this long non-coding RNA (1284 nucleotides) under Homo sapiens (human). RNAcentral describes it as "HSALNT0385342". The record is from RNAcentral. Lineage: Eukaryota; Metazoa; Chordata; Mammalia; Primates; Hominidae.